Molecule: non-coding RNA, 2765 nt
Organism: Ictidomys tridecemlineatus (thirteen-lined ground squirrel)
Lineage: Eukaryota; Metazoa; Chordata; Mammalia; Rodentia; Sciuridae
Source: RefSeq, a predicted model, not a curated record
CUUUAUUGGUCCGUCUUCGUUACAGCUCAUCUCCGGGAGCUAGGGCUGCGCCACACACGGGUUUUGGCCCUUGAAAGGAUCCGUCGGGCGGAGGGCGCGUCAGUGGAGUCCGAAAGUGACGUAAUUAACCCCGUCGCGUCCGUAACCCGGGAAGAUACGGGAUUCUCGCGAGGGCUGACGGGUUGUUGAAGACGCGGUCUGACGCUGCUGAGAACAGUGAACUAAUCUUAAAAUAUCUAAUCUUUAGAUUCUGAAGGCUAGGAUUCUGAAAUCAAGCUGUUGGCGAGGCCAGGAUAAUUCUGAGUGCCAUGUGGAAUGAAGUGAAGAGGGCAAGGUGGAAGAAGAAGGAAAGGAGGUUGUUUAAAAAAUCUGAGAGAAAAAGCUUGCGGCUUGGAUCUGGAGGAGGAAACAGAAGUUGUGAAAAAUGGCCCAGAAGAGACAGAAAAGUAGUGGGACCCAGAACCCAGCUUGAGCAUUAUCACGCAGUGAAUCCGUGAAAUAUGGAAAUUGACAAGACUAAGCACAAGCAGGAGGAAGAAAUGGGGAAGAUCUCUUCACCAACCCUGGAAAUGCCACUGUGAUUUGCUGCGACUGUUUCUAAUUGCAAGAUAAACAGAAGUAUGUCCAGGAAGAAGACCAUUGGCCACCAGAUGGCAGUAUUAUCCCUGAAAUGUCUGAUAGUACUGAACCACAGGAUUCAAAGUGAGGCAUAAUUAUCUUUUCUAAAGCCAGGUGCCUACAGCUGCAGAGGUAAGGGGUGAGUGUAGUUCUGUCUGUUCUCAGGAUUCCCCCACAAAGGAUGACUUGAAGGAUUCUGUUCUUCCCACACCUCAGUAGUUCAGUACAGGGGUUCUAAGGCCUGUGGCAGUCUGGUGAGGCCUCUGAAGUCCUUCUCACCCUUGUGUUCUUAAAUGCAUAAAAUAGAACGCAUUGAAUUACAAAAAAAGCCAAACAUACUGAAACAUGGUUGUUAGAAUAUUUAAGAAAAUGUCAGCAAUAUAUGUGCAUCUUUAUUAAGGCAGUAAUUAAUAAAACCCAAGGGCAGGCCUCCUGUCCAUUAUAAUUUUGAAAUAACUCUGACAGGAUUUCAAUAUAUCUACAAUUGUUUAUUAUGUUGGUGGCCUAUGAUUUUAUUUGAUAAACUGCUUCAUUUUAGUUAGAGUUUAAUAAAAAUAAAGACAUAUUUUUCCCCCUUCUCUCUGCACUCUCUCUGUCUCUCUACUUCCUUCCCUUCCCUGUCCAGUUCAUGGAUUCGGUCUUUGGACCUCUUGAAUAUUCCAAGACCCUACGUUCAAUGCCUUUUAAUGGAUCAGUUAAAUCAAAUGUGGCUUGAGAAUGCCUGGACACAGGUCCUUAUUUAACUGCAGCCUAACUUCUUCAUAUGUAAACUAAAUGAAAGCCUAGGUGUGAGCAUACUUGGGUAAUGUGUAGCUUCAGCCAAUAACAGCCUCAAAGCUUCAUUCAGCACAGGUAACCAACUGGUGGCCCUUGUUCAAAUAAGGCAAAGGCUGUUUUAUAGUGCAGCAAGCCUCUGGCAACCUCACUUCUGUUUCCUGCAUUUCCGUUUUCUGUCUGUUGAUGCCCUCUGACCAUGUGGCACCCUGUAAGUCUUUAAACCUGUGCAAGUUGUCAGAGUUUCUGGAUUCUAGAAUCAUGAAUAAAAGCAACGUAAGACCUUUAAACUAGAAUUGUUAUAAUUCUGUCUUUUGAGACAUUUGUCAUUCAUUUUGCCAGUUGAAGGAAGCAAAGCCUCAUUCAAGCUGGCCAGGUUGGAAUGGCUUAAUUAGAGGGAUGUGACACAUCCUUUCCCUCUCCAUCCCUCUCGGGCCCCAACCCCUCCUGUUCACAGCCACAGCUCCUCCUCCCCCCCUCUUCUGUUCUUGUCAUGCCUCUGAAGUGCUAAGGUUUCCUUCCCACAUUCUUUUCCUCCAGGCUCCCCUUUCUUCUUUUCUGACUGAAGCCAAAGCCACUUCCUGGAACCUCUUUGCUCCUCCAUUUAUGCUUUAUCCAAAGUCACUCGGUCUCAGGAAUACUGCCCAGUCAUUUGCCCUUUGCUUCUCUUCUUUAUUAUCCCUCCAGAGGUGGAGGAAAAAGAUGGAAGAUGUGGUCAUUGUUGAAAGCCAGCCAACUCCAGUAGUUAGAGUCAUAGAAAACAUGGAGCUUCUGCAUCUCUACAUUAGAUAAAAUAUCCUUCUUUGUCCCCCAUUACUUUCUCUCCCCUACUCUGCUUUAUUCCUUUUUAGCUCUUUUCUUUAUCUGACAUUAUUUACUUGUAUACUUACCUUGUUAUUUUCUGUUUCCCUCACUAACAUGCAAGCUUCAUAAGACAGGGAUUUAGCUUUUUAGUUUCAGUCUCCCUAGUGCCUAGCACAGGGUUGGGAAUGUUGUAGGUGAUGAAUUAAUACUUAUUAAAGGGAUGAAGCAGAUUGAAAAGGAACAGUAAUGUCAAUAAUUCUCAAAUUUCACUUUUUCAGACUUUUUUUCCCCCUCUAUUGUCUUGCAUUGAAUCUAGAAGUACAAAAUCACCAUGGGUGGGUUUCAUGGGGUGAUUUCAAUGGAGUGUAAUGUUAGUCUGUAAAGGUUAUUUCUUAAAAGUUAGAAGAGUGAAAAUAGAAAAUGAGUUUUGGCAAUUGUACAAAUAAUACAAGAUGCAUACAUAUUUUAAUUUUCUGUAAAUACAGUUUGCCUUUUAUGCAAACUAGAUAACAUUUAAUGAAAACAAAUGUUUCCUUCUCUUUUUGAAUUAUUAAAAUAACUGAAUUUCG